Molecule: non-coding RNA, 96 nt
Organism: Acanthosepion pharaonis
Lineage: Eukaryota; Metazoa; Mollusca; Cephalopoda; Sepiida; Sepiidae
Source: the annotation of a GenBank genome assembly
UUCAAACACCAGUUCCCAUACAAUCACUGAAGUUAAGCAAUGCAAGUCUGGUUAGUACCUAAAUGGAUGACUGCUUGGGUAUACCAGGUGCUGUAA